RNAcentral lists this ribosomal RNA (472 nucleotides) under uncultured bacterium. RNAcentral's name for it is "partial 16S ribosomal RNA". It matches the Rfam family "Bacterial small subunit ribosomal RNA", at positions 28 to 507 of the family's 1533-position model. The record is from RNAcentral.
GACGAACGCUGGCGGCGUGCUUAACACAUGCAAGUCGAACGCUGACGCUUGGUGCUUGCACUGGGUGGAUGAGUGGCGAAAGGGUGAGUAAUACGUGCGUAACCUGCCCUUGAAUCUGGGAUAAGCCUGGGAAACUGGGUCUAAUACUGGAUACGACAUGUCACCGCAUGGUGGUGUGUGGAAAGGGUUUUACUGGUUUUGGAUGGGCUCACGGCUUAUCAGCUUGUUGGUGGGGUAAUGGCCCACCAAGGCGACGACGGGUAGCCGGCCUGAGUGGGUGACCGGCCACACUGGGACUGAGACACGGCCCAGACUCCUACGGGAGGCAGCAGUGGGGAAUAUUGCACAAUGGGCGGAAGCCUGAUGCAGCGACGCCGCGUGAGGGAUGACGGCCUUCGGGUUGUAAACCUCUUUCAGCACGGAAGAAGCGAAAGUGACGGUACGUGCAGAAGAAGCGCCGGCUAACUACGUG